RNAcentral lists this ribosomal RNA (207 nucleotides) under uncultured Mesotoga sp. Its description in RNAcentral is "partial 16S ribosomal RNA". It matches the Rfam family "Bacterial small subunit ribosomal RNA", at positions 568 to 774 of the family's 1533-position model. The record is from RNAcentral. Lineage: Bacteria; Thermotogati; Thermotogota; Thermotogae; Kosmotogales; Kosmotogaceae.
AGCGUAGGUGGCCUAACAUGUCAACUGUGAAAACCCGGAGCUCAACUCCGGACUUGCAGUUGAAACUGGUAGGCUUGAGGACGGUAGAGGAAGACGGAACUGCCAGUGUAGGGGUAAAAUCCUUAGAUAUUGGCAGGAACGCCGGUGACGAAGGUGGUUUUCUGGGCCGGUUCUGACACUGAUGCUCGAAAGCCAGGGGAGCGAGCG